UAAAUUUUUAAAUUUAAAAUAAAAUACAAAUAAGUAAUGUAUUUAAAUCAAAUAAAUAUUCGUUUUGUGUCGCCAAAUAUGCAAACGCAGUGCUUAGUGUGGAUAUAAUAUAUUAAAGUUAUUUAGUUGUAUUAUUAGUGCAGUCUGAAGUGAAGUGGGUGCUCUGCUCGCAGCAAAUGGCGAAUGCGCGUGUAAGGUUUUAAGCAGUUUGUGUUGAUAAUCGCAGUUUGUUUAAUUCAGUGGUGUUCAAGAAAAUGUUUUAUUAUUAGUAAAAUAAAUAUAAAUCAGUUUUUAAGAAAAUAAAAUUCUGCUGUAAAUGCUGUAAAUGAAAGAUAUUUAGUAUAUGCAGUGAAUGAGUUCAGUGAGUGAGUGUUCAUUGGUUUUGAAGAUCGUGUGGCUGCUAAGUCGUGUGCGUCGAUGCAGCGUAAAUAUUGAAACGUAUGUAUGAAUGUGCAUACAUGCAUACCUAUGAAAUGAUAUAAAAUAUGUGCGCUAGUCAAUAUAACCUAUAAUUAUUCAGAGGUGCCAUUAUAAGACGCGAUAUACUUAUGUACAUACAUAGUAUGUACUUUGUAUGUACGAAAGGGCUUCAUCUUUAAUCAGGACAACGCUAGACCACACAUAUAUUUGAUGACUUAAAAAAAAAACGGGUAUGCAACUGGAAUGUCCAGUCCUUUAAUUGGGAUGAUGCCGCAGCCCAGCU
This is a long non-coding RNA of Bactrocera neohumeralis, 703 nucleotides long. RefSeq lists it as uncharacterized. NCBI's taxonomy places the organism in Eukaryota, Metazoa, Arthropoda, Insecta, Diptera, Tephritidae. The record is from RefSeq and is a predicted model, not a curated record. The transcript is spliced from 2 exons.